ACUUCGUAACACAAGAAAAGCGUUGAUCAAGAAAUAACAAAAGCCUCGUUCGGCCUGCUAGAAAUAGCUGCCAAAUCUCUUUCAAGUUCCACUCGCCUUGUAUUAAUAAUGAAAAACAGCACAAAGAAUGAGUGAUAUGGUGUUGGAUGUACUUUAUGACGAGAUGGUCAUGGCUGAAAUGUCUUUGAUCAUAAGUUUGUCAACUCGAUCAGAGCUAAACAACAACAGUGAUCGAAGUGUCCCACCACCAUUCUCACAGACAUCAACAAACCGUGAGAAAUAGUUUUAAAACCGCUCCUCUACUUCUCUCUCUAUUUCUUCCUUUCUCUCUCUUCUUCUCACUCACUCUUUCUCCUUCCCUCACUCUUAAUCACUGUUUCUUUCACUUUCAUUCUCUUACUUUUAUCCUGCGUUUCCCUCUCUCUUAGUCACUGUCUUUUCUUCUUCUCUCUCUCUUAAUCAGUGUCUCUCUCACUCUUACUCUGUCAUCCUCUCACUCUUACUCUAUCACCCUUACUCUUAUUACUUUCUAUCUCUCACUUUUACUCUGAGUCCUUCACUUUCACUCUCUCCUAGUCUCUACCACUCUCUCUCUCUCUCCCUUAUCUCCGUCUCACUCUCUCCCUGUAAGUCUCUAUUUCUCUCUCUCGCACUCACACACAUAUACCUACACUCACACUCGUCUACCAGUUUAUGUUUUGUCGUCUUCUAAACCCUUCUGUCUCCUUCAACACACCGGAUUGUUGUCUGCAGUUUUGGAUAUGUUUACACCUUUUUGCUUCUGGCUUGGAGCUUGAUCCACUCUUCUGACGUCAUUUGAUUCUUUAGAAUUUCUUUAGCAUGUCUGAGGUGCCUCCGCUUCCAAGACGGAAGGAUAGCUUGCCAGCACCAAAAGUGCCUCCAAUACCACCUGUGCCGAAUCGAAAGAAUUACUUAACAAGUCGUCCCUGCGUGUGGCCAGUUACCCAGCCAACUACUUCAGCUGUGACCAUUUCCAGUGGCUGCACUGCCAGCAGCAGCAGCAGCAGCAGCAGCAGUAACAACAACAACAUCAGCAGUAGUAUCUGCAUCAGCAUCAACAACAGCACAACGAGUACCACCACUACCACCACCACCAGCACCUCUACACUCGCUACGACUAGCUGUAGUUCUUCAGCCUCUGCUGCCACCAAAAUGUCUACAAACCCACAAACAUCAGUAUCCUCUUCAUCGUCAGCAUCAAUCGAUUCCAAAAGUUCCAGCGAAGCUUCUGAAAUCGUCUUCGAGGCUUCAAACCACUGCCAAGAGGGCUUCAAGGCUCUUUUGGAUUUCUACAAUCGAAAGAUAUUAUGUGACUUGGAGAUUCGAGUUGGCAAGAAGUCGAUAUGGUGCCAUCGGGUUGUUCUUGCAUGUGUCAGUAACUAUUUCAAAGGUAUGUUUACAUCAGACAUGGCAGAGAGCAAGCAGGGUGUCCUGACGAUACACGACCUGGAUGAGCAUUGUCUUCAAGCCCUCAUAACGUUUGCAUACACCUCUAAGGUGACUCUCACUGUGGACAAUGUGCAACAGCUUCUCUAUGCAUCUUCCAUUUUGCAAAUGGAAGCAGUUGCACAAGCCUGCUGCAAAUUUAUGCAGAACCAUUUGCAUCCAACAAACUGUGUCGGUGUCAGAAACUUUGCCGAGCAGCAUGGCUGUACGGAAUUGGUCAAAGUAACAGAUGAAUACAUAUUGGAACAUUUCCUUGAGGUAGUUGACCAAGAGGAGUUCUGUAACAUGCCCUACAAAGUCAUCGACAUCAUCGUCAGUUCACCGAACCUUAAUGUACCUUCUGAAAUUCGCGUUUACGAGGGUGUAAUGAAAUGGGUUAAACAAGACUUAAUGAAACGGCGAUGUUAUUUGCCAAAACUGCUUGCACAUGUCAAACUGCCCCUUAUACCGGUGAGUUACCUUAUGGAUUGUGUUGAAACUGAGGACCUUUUAAAGAAAAGUUUUGAGUGUCGGGACUUUUUGGAUGAAGCCAAACAUUACCAGAUGUCUCACACUAACCUGAUCAUCGAGGUGAAGAUUACGGAGAGGAUGAAACCACGUAAAAGCUAUGCAGGUGUACUUUUUUGUGUGGGGGGUCGAGGAGCAGCAGGUGACCCUUUCAAGAGUAUAGAAUGUUACAACUACCGCAAAAAUUCCUGGUUUCCAAUUGCUGAAAUGAAUACUCGCAGACGACAUGUUGGAGUAUGUGCAGCUUCAGGUCGCCUUUAUGCAAUUGGAGGACAUGAUGGAUUCACACAUCUGAACAGUGGGGAAGUGUUUGAUCCAGUCAAAAACAAGUGGUCAUAUAUUGCCCCUAUGGGAUCCCUCAGACGUGGAAUUGCCCUGGCCUGUUUAGGAGGUCCAAUCUACGCCAUUGGUGGUUUGGAUGACACAUCCUGCUUCAACACCGUGGAACGAUAUGAUCCUUCGACAGAUGUCUGGACGUUUUUAUCAUCCAUGAAGGUUCCUAGAGGCGGUGUAGGAGUUACGUCACAGAAAGGUUAUCUCUAUGCUGUUGGUGGCAAUGAUGGAUCAACUUCACUGGAUAGUUGUGAAAGAUACAAUCCACUAACAAAUAAAUGGACCACAAUUGCUUACAUGAACAAGAGACGAGCCGGUGCUGGAGUUACUGUGCUCAACGGAAUGGUGUACGCCGUUGGUGGUUUUGAUGACAAUGCUCCACUACACUCUAUGGAACGUUACGAUCCAGCAUCAGAUUCCUGGACAUUGAUGCCGUCAAUGUCAUGUUGUCGGGGAGGAGUUGGUGUUGCUACGCUUGGAGGUAAAAUUUUUGCUGUUGGUGGCCAUGAUGGAUCCAGUUACUUGAAUUCUGUUGAAGCCUUUGAUCCGAGUACUGGGAAGUGGAUGAUGAUGUCAAACAUAGAAGUAUGUCGUGCUGGUGCUGGAGUUGCCGUCUUGGACUGUUCAGUGGAACAACUAGAAGACAUUCGGAAAACAGUCAAUACAUCCAGUGCUGGGUCAGUGAUACAGAGACAACAUGGGGAAUAAGAAAUAAGCAUUCCAAAGACGUAUCUCCCGGUUUCCAUAUUUUUGCCCCUUUUUCCCCCCUUUUUCUUCCAUAAAACGUUUCCAUUUGUUUUUGUUGAUGAAAACAAAAACAAGCAAAACCCUUAUGUUGACAUCUGUGCGUUUAUAACAAACGUGUUAAGAUGGUCGACAUGUAAACUAAAUCAUAAGAAAGGAAGGACACAAAAAAAAAAUCCAUCCGCCAGUCAUUUGAUAAACCAAAUAUCUUCAUUAAACAUUGGCUGCUAUUUCUAAUGGGAACCUUUUUAAAAAAUCACAGGUGAGACUUUACCAAAACCAUAGAAUGUGGCUGGUCAAUAAAUUUCGCACAAAAGACCUGAAGUCAUUCCAGACUGAGCAGAGCACAUCAAGUCAAGACAGAAAAAUGGAAAUCUGAAAGACCAGAACAAAUCAAGGGAAGAGAGAGAGAGAGAUCAAAUCUCGAUGGAUCAAGAGUUGACUGAACAACUCAAAGGGCAGGUCAUGUCAAGAGAAAAAUGAGAGAAAAUGGUGCAGAACCAAUCUAAAUUAUCUAUUGUUAUAAACAGAUGUAUAAAAAUCGAAAACAAAGAAUAUGGGGCUUGUCUCAGAAAUUGAAAUGAGAACAAAAAAAGUGGGGUGGGGAAAUGUAUUUUUCAAUUAUUUUAUUCAAUAUUAUUUGAAUCUUUUUUUUUUUAUACAUGACAAUAAAGCGAAUGACUUUGAUACAAAAUUAUAAAAAACAAAAACGAACAGAACUUUCUUUGAUCAGGAAAUUAUCAUGAAAUUUGCAUUGUAUUUACCAUAUAUUUCUUCAUUCAUCAUUUGUUAUUUUCUAAACCACUCACACACACACACACACACACACACACACACAUUUAUGAAAAAAAAAAAAUAGUCCCUGUCAAGUUUGCUUUGGCAGACUGUUUGUCAGGGUAUUGAACUGACCAAAGAAAACAUUCAAUGUUGAUACUUCUGUCUGUAAUCGUCCCAUUUAUAUGGGGCAAUGCUGUCUUUAGAUUUUAGGGGCGUGGAAUAAAAAUGUGCCUACUUUAAAGACA
Octopus bimaculoides (California two-spot octopus) is the source of this 4073-nucleotide RNA transcript. RefSeq lists it as uncharacterized. The record is from RefSeq and is a predicted model, not a curated record. Lineage: Eukaryota; Metazoa; Mollusca; Cephalopoda; Octopoda; Octopodidae.